This 542-nucleotide ribosomal RNA is filed under the name Mucor irregularis. RNAcentral describes it as "eukaryotic LSU rRNA". It matches the Rfam family "Eukaryotic large subunit ribosomal RNA", at positions 97 to 635 of the family's 3401-position model. Lineage: Eukaryota; Fungi; Mucoromycota; Mucoromycetes; Mucorales; Mucoraceae. The record is from RNAcentral.
AGAGGAAAGAGCUCAAAGUUGGUUACCUGUUUGGCUUACCUAAACCGGAUUGUAAACUGUAGAAGUGUUUUCCAGACACGCCUGGUAAAAAAGUCCUUUGGAACAGGGCAUCAUAGAGGGUGAGAAUCCCGUCAUUGGCCAGAGCUGUUGUCUUUUGUGAUACAUUUUCAAAGAGUCAGGUUGUUUGGGAAUGCAGCCUAAAUUGGGUGGUAAAUCUCACCUAAAGCUAAAUAUUUGCGAGAGACCGAUAGCGAACAAGUACCGUGAGGGAAAGAUGAAAAGAACUUUGAAAAGAGAGUUAAACAGUAUGUGAAAUUGUUAAAAGGGAACCGUUUGGAGCCAGACUGGCUUGAUCGUAAUCACUCUAGGCUUUGGCCUGGAUGCACUUGCGGUCUAUGCCGGCCAACGACAGUUUUGUUUGAGGGAAAAAAUUACAUUGAAUGUGGCCCUUCGGGGUGUUAUAGCUUUGUAAAAAAUACCUUGGACGGACUGAGGAACGCAGCGAAUGCCUUUAGGCGAGAUUGCUGGGUGCUUGCGCUGAU